RNAcentral lists this ribosomal RNA (839 nucleotides) under Pseudolactococcus raffinolactis. RNAcentral describes it as "bacterial SSU rRNA". It matches the Rfam family "Bacterial small subunit ribosomal RNA", at positions 28 to 845 of the family's 1533-position model. The record is from RNAcentral. Lineage: Bacteria; Bacillati; Bacillota; Bacilli; Lactobacillales; Streptococcaceae.
GACGACGCUGGCGGCGUGCCUAAUACAUGCAGUUGAACGCUUGAUUUCACCGAAGCUGCUUCACCGAAAAUCAAGAGUAGCGAACGGGUGAGUAACGCGUGGGUAACCUACCUAUCAGCGGGGGAUAACUAUUGGAAACGAUAGCUAAUACCGCAUAACAAUGUUGGAUGCAUAUUCGACAUUUGAAAGUACCAACUGGUACACUGAGAGAUGGACCCGCGUUGUAUUAGCUAGUUGGUAGUGUAAUGGACUACCAAGGCGAUGAUACAUAGCCGACCUGAGAGGGUGAUCGGCCACAUUGGGACUGAGACACGGCCCAAACUCCUACGGGAGGCAGCAGUAGGGAAUCUUCGGCAAUGGACGAAAGUCUGACCGAGCAACGCCGCGUGAGUGAAGAAGGUUUUCGGAUCGUAAAACUCUGUUGUUAGAGAAGAACGUUGCAUAGAGUGGAAAAUUAUGCAAGUGACGGUAUCUAACCAGAAAGGGACGGCUAACUACGUGCCAGCAGCCGCGGUAAUACGUAGGUCCCGAGCGUUGUCCGGAUUUAUUGGGCGUAAAGCGAGCGCAGGUGGUUUAAUAAGUCUGAUGUAAAAGGCAGUGGCUCAACCAUUGUGUGCAUUGGAAACUGUUAGACUUGAGUGCAGUAGAGGAGAGUGGAAUUCCAUGUGUAGCGGUGAAAUGCGUAGAUAUAUGGAGGAACACCGGUGGCGAAAGCGGCUCUCUGGACUGUCACUGACACUGAGGCUCGAAAGCGUGGGUAGCAAACAGGAUUAGAUACCCUGGUAGUCCACGCCGUAAACGAUGAGUGCUAGUGGUUUGGGGCUAUCCAGCCCUAUAGU